This 427-nucleotide ribosomal RNA is filed under the name uncultured bacterium. RNAcentral describes it as "partial 16S ribosomal RNA". It matches the Rfam family "Bacterial small subunit ribosomal RNA", at positions 355 to 774 of the family's 1533-position model. The record is from RNAcentral.
UGGGGAAUAUUGGACAAUGGGCGAAAGCCUGAUCCAGCCAUGCCGCGUGUGUGAAGAAGGUCUUCGGAUUGUAAAGCACUUUAAGUUGGGAGGAAGGGCAUUAACCUAAUACGUUAGUGUUUUGACGUUACCGACAGAAUAAGCACCGGCUAACUCUGUGCCAGCAGCCGCGGUAAUACAGAGGGUGCAAGCGUUAAUCGGAAUUACUGGGCGUAAAGCGCGCGUAGGUGGUUUGUUAAGUUGGAUGUGAAAUCCCCGGGCUCAACCUGGGAACUGCAUUCAAAACUGACUGACUAGAGUAUGGUAGAGGGUGGUGGAAUUUCCUGUGUAGCGGUGAAAUGCGUAGAUAUAGGAAGGAACGCCAGUGGCGAAGGCGACCACCUGGACUAAUACUGACACUGAGGUGCGAAAGCGUGGGGAGCAAACA